GUAGCGAAAUUCCUUGUCGGGUAAGUUCCGACCUGCACGAAUGGCGUAACGAUGGCCACACUGUCUCCUCCAGAGACUCAGCGAAGUUGAAAUGUUUGUGAUGAUGCAAUCUCCCCGCGGAAAGACGGAAAGACCCCAUGAACCUUUACUGUAGCUUUGUAUUGGACUUUGAACAGAUCUGUGUAGGAUAGGUGGGAGGCUUUGAAGUGCGGUCGCUAGAUCGCAUGGAGCCAACGUUGAAAUACCACCCUGGUGUGUUUGAGGUUCUAACCUAGGCCCAUUAUCUGGGUCGGGGACAGUGCAUGGUAGGCAGUUUGACUGGGGCGGUCUCCUCCCAAAGUGUAACGGAGGAGUUCGAAGGUACGCUAGUUACGGUCGGACAUCGUGACGAUAGUGCAAUGGCAUAAGCGUGCUUAACUGCGAGACUGACAAGUCGAGCAGAUGCGAAAGCAGGACAUAGUGAUCCGGUGGUUCUGUAUGGAAGGGCCAUCGCUCAACGGAUAAAAGGUACUCCGGGGAUAACAGGCUGAUACCGCCCAAGAGUUCAUAUCGACGGCGGUGUUUGGCACCUCGAUGUCGGCUCAUCUCAUCCUGGGGCUGAAGCAGGUCCCAAGGGUAUGGCUGUUCGCCAUUUAAAGAGGUACGCGAGCUGGGUUUAGAACGUCGUGAGACAGUUCGGUCCCUAUCUACCGUGGGCGUUGGAAAUUUGAGAGGAUCUGCUCCUAGUACGAGAGGACCAGAGUGGACGAACCUCUGGUGUUCCGGUUGUCACGCCAGUGGCAUUGCCGAGUAGCUAUGUUCGGAUGGGAUAACCGCUGAAAGCAUCUAAGCGGGAAGCCCACCUUAAGAUUAGAUUUCCCUAAAGAGCCGUUGUAGACUACGACGUUGAUAGGUUGGGUGUGGAAGCAUAGUGAUAUGUGUAGCUAACCAAUACUAAUUGCUCGUUUGGCUUGAC
Molecule: ribosomal RNA, 955 nt
Filed under: uncultured eukaryote
Lineage: Eukaryota
Description: partial Bacterial large subunit ribosomal RNA
Rfam family: Bacterial large subunit ribosomal RNA
Source: RNAcentral